AAUACAUGCAAGUCGAGCGGACAGAAGGGAGCUUGCUCCNGGAUGUAGCGGCGGACGGGUGAGUAACACGUGGGUAACCUGCCUGUAAGACUGGGAUAACUCCGGGAAACGGAAGCUAAUACCGGAUAGUUCCUGAACCGCAUGGUUCAAGGAUGAAAGACGGUUUCGGCUGUCACUUACAGAUGGACCCGCGGCGCAUAGCUAGUUGGUGAGGUAACGGCUCACCAAGGCGACGAUGCGUAGCCGACCUGAGAGGGUGAUCGGCCACACUGGGACUGAGACACGGCCCAGACUCCUACGGGAGGCAGCAGUAGGGAAUCUUCCGCAAUGGACGAAAGUCUGACGGAGCAACGCCGCGUGAGUGAUGAAGGUUUUCGGAUCGUAAAGCUCUGUUGUUAGGGAAGAACAAGUGCAAGAGUAACUGCUUGCACCUUGACGGUACCUAACCAGAAAGCCACGGCUAACUACGUGCCAGCAGCCGCGGUAAUACGUAGGUGGCAGCGUUGUCCGGAAUUAUUGGGCGUAAAGGGCUCGCAGGCGGUUUCUUAAGUCUGAUGUGAAAGCCCCCGGCUCAACCGGGGAGGGUCAUUGGAAACUGGGAAACUUGAGUGCAGAAGAGGAGAGUGGAAUUCCACGUGUAGCGGUGAAAUGCGUAGAGAUGUGGAGGAACACCAGUGGCGAAGGCGACUCUCUGGUCUGUAACUGACGCUGAGGAGCGAAAGCGUGGGGAGCGAACAGGAUUAGAUACCCUGGUAGUCCACGCCGUAAACGAUGAGUGCUAAGUGUUAGGGGGUUUCCGCCCCUUAGUGCUGCAGCUAACGCAUUAAGCACUCCGCCUGGGGAGUACGGUCGCAAGACUGAAACUCAAAGGAAUUGACGGGGGCCCGCACAAGCGGUGGAGCAUGUGGUUUAAUUCGAAGCAACGCGAAGAACCUUACCAGGUCUUGACAUCCUCUGACAACCCUAGAGAUAGGGCUUUCCCUUCGGGGACAGAGUGACAG
This 1001-nucleotide ribosomal RNA is filed under the name Bacillus aerius. Its description in RNAcentral is "bacterial SSU rRNA". It matches the Rfam family "Bacterial small subunit ribosomal RNA", at positions 50 to 1037 of the family's 1533-position model. The record is from RNAcentral. Lineage: Bacteria; Bacillati; Bacillota; Bacilli; Caryophanales; Bacillaceae.